Camelus ferus (Wild Bactrian camel) is the source of this 73-nucleotide non-coding RNA. The record is from Rfam. NCBI's taxonomy places the organism in Eukaryota, Metazoa, Chordata, Mammalia, Artiodactyla, Camelidae.
GGAGGGUACAGCUCACUGGUAGAGUGCACGCCUAGCAUGCAUGAGGUCCUGGGUUCGAUCCCCAGAACCUCUG